GGGACACGUGGUAUCCUGUCUGAAUAUGGGGGGACCAUCCUCCAAGGCUAAAUACUCCUGACUGACCGAUAGUGAACCAGUACCGUGAGGGAAAGGCGAAAAGAACCCCGGCGAGGGGAGUGAAAAAGAACCUGAAACCGUGUACGUACAAGCAGUGGGAGCCUCUUUUAUGGGGUGACUGCGUACCUUUUGUAUAAUGGGUCAGCGACUUAUAUUCUGUAGCAAGGUUAACCGAAUAGGGGAGCCGAAGGGAAACCGAGUCUUAACUGGGCGUUAAGUUGCAGGGUAUAGACCCGAAACCCGGUGAUCUAGCCAUGGGCAGGUUGAAGGUUGGGUAACACUAACUGGAGGACCGAACCGACUAAUGUUGAAAAAUUAGCGGAUGACUUGUGGCUGGGGGUGAAAGGCCAAUCAAACCGGGAGAUAGCUGGUUCUCCCCGAAAGCUAUUUAGGUAGCGCCUCGUGAAUUCAUCUCCGGGGGUAGAGCACUGUUUCGGCAAGGGGGUCAUCCCGACUUACCAACCCGAUGCAAACUGCGAAUACCGGAGAAUGUUAUCACGGGAGACACACGGCGGGUGCUAACGUCCGUCGUGAAGAGGGAAACAACCCAGACCGCCAGCUAAGGUCCCAAAGUCAUGGUUAAGUGGGAAACGAUGUGGGAAGGCCCAGACAGCCAGGAUGUUGGCUUAGAAGCAGCCAUCAUUUAAAGAAAGCGUAAUAGCUCACUGGUCGAGUCGGCCUGCGCGGAAGAUGUAACGGGGCUAAACCAUGCACCGAAGCUGCGGCAGCGACGCUUAUGCGUUGUUGGGUAGGGGAGCGUUCUGUAAGCCUGUGAAGGUGUGCUGUGAGGCAUGCUGGAGGUAUCAGAAGUGCGAAUGCUGACAUAAGUAACGAUAAAGCGGGUGAAAAGCCCGCUCGCCGGAAGACCAAGGGUUCCUGUCCAACGUUAAUCGGGGCAGGGUGAGUCGACCCCUAAGGCGAGGCCGAAAGGCGUAGUCGAUGGGAAACAGGUUAAUAUUCCUGUACUUGGUGUUACUGCGAAGGGGGGACGGAGAAGGCUAUGUUGGCCGGGCGACGGUUGUCCCGGUUUAAGCGUGUAGGCUGGUUUUCCAGGCAAAUCCGGAAAAUCAAGGCUGAGGCGUGAUGACGAGGCACUACGGUGCUGAAGCAACAAAUGCCCUGCUUCCAGGAAAAGCCUCUAAGCAUCAGGUAACAUCAAAUCGUACCCCAAACCGACACAGGUGGUCAGGUAGAGAAUACCAAGGCGCUUGAGAGAACUCGGGUGAAGGAACUAGGCAAAAUGGUGCCGUAACUUCGGGAGAAGGCACGCUGAUAUGUAGGUGAAGUCCCUUGCGGAUGGAGCUGAAAUCAGUCGAAGAUACCAGCUGGCUGCAACUGUUUAUUAAAAACACAGCACUGUGCAAACACGAAAGUGGACGUAUACGGUGUGACGCCUGCCCGGUGCCGGAAGGUUAAUUGAUGGGGUCAGCGCAAGCGAAGCUCUUGAUCGAAGCCCCGGUAAACGGCGGCCGUAACUAUAACGGUCCUAAGGUAGCGAAAUUCCUUGUCGGGUAAGUUCCGACCUGCACGAAUGGCGUAAUGAUGGCCAGGCUGUCUCCACCCGAGACUCAGUGAAAUUGAACUCGCUGUGAAGAUGCAGUGUACCCGCGGCAAGACGGAAAGACCCCGUGAACCUUUACUAUAGCUUGACACUGAACAUUGAGCCUUGAUG
RNAcentral lists this ribosomal RNA (1732 nucleotides) under Escherichia coli. RNAcentral describes it as "partial 23S ribosomal RNA". It matches the Rfam family "Bacterial large subunit ribosomal RNA", at positions 419 to 2136 of the family's 2925-position model. The record is from RNAcentral. Lineage: Bacteria; Pseudomonadati; Pseudomonadota; Gammaproteobacteria; Enterobacterales; Enterobacteriaceae.